AUACGUAGGGGGCGAGCGUUGUCCGGAAUGAUUGGGCGUAAAGGGCGCGUAGGCGGCCCGGCAAGUCUGGAGUGAAAGUCCUGCUUUUAAGGUGGGAAUUGCUUUGGAUACUGUCGGGCUUGAGUGCAGGAGAGGUAAGUGGAAUUCCCAGUGUAGCGGUGAAAUGCGUAGAGAUUGGGAGGAACACCAGUGGCGAAGGCGACUUACUGGACUGUAACUGACGCUGAGGCGCGAAAGUGUGGGGAGCAAACAGGAUUAGAUACCCUGGUAGUCCACACUGUAAACGAUGAAUGCUAGGUGUAGGGGGUAUCGACCCCUUCUGUGCCGCAGUUAACACAAUAAGCAUUCCGCCUGGGGAGUACGGCCGCAAGGUUGAAACUCAAAGGAAUUGACGGGG
RNAcentral lists this ribosomal RNA (397 nucleotides) under uncultured bacterium. RNAcentral describes it as "partial 16S ribosomal RNA". It matches the Rfam family "Bacterial small subunit ribosomal RNA", at positions 523 to 918 of the family's 1533-position model. The record is from RNAcentral.